GUAGGUGGCAAGCGUUGUCCGGAAUUAUUGGGCGUAAAGCGCGCGCAGGCGGUUCUUUAAGUCUGAUGUGAAAGCCCACGGGUUCAACCGUGGAGGGUCAUUGGAAACUGGAGAACUUGAGUACAGAAGAGGAAAGCGGAAUUCCACGUGUAGCGGUGAAAUGCGUAGAGAUGUGGAGGAACACCAGUGGCGAAGGCGGCUUUCUGGUCUGUAACUGACGCUGAGGCGCGAAAGCGUGGGGAGCAAACAGGAUUAGAUACCCUGGUAGUCCACGCCGUAAACGAUGAGUGCUAAGUGUUAGGGGGUUUCCGCCCCUUAGUGCUGCAGCUAACGCAUUAAGCACUCCGCCUGGGGAGUACGGCCGCAAAGGCUG
This 373-nucleotide ribosomal RNA is filed under the name uncultured organism. RNAcentral's name for it is "partial 16S ribosomal RNA". It matches the Rfam family "Bacterial small subunit ribosomal RNA", at positions 527 to 896 of the family's 1533-position model. The record is from RNAcentral.